UUGCAAGCCUCCAGCGUGCUUGGGUCUGGGGUGACUCUGUGCCUUCCUAUAGGGCUUGCAAGAACAUUCUGAAAUGGUUUGAAGCCUUGCUCUGAGCCACUGAGGGAAAGGUUAGAGAAAUUAGAGACAACA
Molecule: small nucleolar RNA, 132 nt
Organism: Sorex fumeus (smoky shrew)
Lineage: Eukaryota; Metazoa; Chordata; Mammalia; Eulipotyphla; Soricidae
Product: small nucleolar RNA SNORA9
Exons: 1
Source: RefSeq, a predicted model, not a curated record